UUGUAUUAAUUAAAUUUUCUAAUUGUAUCGAUAAAUUUUUAUUUUCUUAAGAAUUAAAGAAAGAGUAAAAUCCUCUUUAUCUUCUAUUUUUAUAUUUAUCAAAAAUUUUUCUUUUAAAAAAUAAUCAAGGAUAAUAUUUACAAACCCAAUUUACUUGGCAGCUUAAUCUAUAAUUAGGGGAAUCUGUUCUUUAAUUGACUCUCCACAAUAUAACUUACCUAAUUCUCUGAUCUAUAUAUCACCGAUAAAAAAAAAUAUUUUUUUUCUCCUUUUAUAAGAAAAUAUCAGGUCAAGAUAUAAUCAAUAAAUAGGAAUGAAAUGGAUUACAAUUUUUUACUAAAAACGAAUUUUAUUAUGAAAUAAAAAUGAAGGUGGACUUAAUAGUAAAAAUAUAAUAUUAAGACAUUUUGAUUAAAUCUUAUUAA
Molecule: ribosomal RNA, 425 nt
Filed under: Troglosiro cf. juberthiei RMC-2015
Lineage: Eukaryota; Metazoa; Arthropoda; Arachnida; Opiliones; Troglosironidae
Description: partial 12S ribosomal RNA
Source: RNAcentral